AAGAUUGGACACUUUGCUAAGGAAUGUCCCUAGCCUAAGAAGUAGCAGACGACCUACCCAGCCCAUGUGCAUCACACCUCGAUUGAAGAGAUUACGGAAGGAGAACUGGUAACAGCGGUAUGUUCCCGAUCAACCAACAUCUCGUAGUUGUUUUGUUUGAUACAGGGUCAUUGCAUUCAUUCAUGAGUCAAGCAUUUGCACAAAAGCAUGAUC
RNAcentral lists this long non-coding RNA (213 nucleotides) under Sorghum bicolor (sorghum). RNAcentral's name for it is "long non-coding RNA (SBIC_LNC015764)". Lineage: Eukaryota; Viridiplantae; Streptophyta; Magnoliopsida; Poales; Poaceae. The record is from RNAcentral.